AUUGAACGCUGGCGGCAGGCCUAACACAUGCAAGUCGAGCGGAUGAAGAGUGCUUGCUCCUGGAUUCAGCGGCGGACGGGCGAGUGAUGCCUAGGAAUCUGCCUGGCUGUGGGUGCUAACGUCCGGACACGGGCGCUAAUACCGCAUACGUCCUGAGGGCGUACGUGGGGGAUCUUCGGACCUUCCGCUAUCAGAUGAGCCUAGGUCGGAUUAGCUAGUUGGUGGGGUAAAGGCCUACCAAGGCGACGAUCCGUAGCUGGUCUGAGAGGAUGAUCGGCCACACUGGAACUGAGACACGGUCCAGACUCCUACGGGAGGCAGCAGUGGGGAAUAUUGGACAAUGGGCGCAAGCCUGAUCCAGCCAUACCGCGUGGGUGAAGAAGGCCUUCGGGUUGUAAAGCCCUUUUGUUGGGAAAGAAAAGCAGCAGGUUAAUACCCCGCUGUUCUGACGGUACCCAAAGAAUAAGCCCCGGCUAACUUCGUG
This 484-nucleotide ribosomal RNA is filed under the name uncultured bacterium. Its description in RNAcentral is "partial 16S ribosomal RNA". It matches the Rfam family "Bacterial small subunit ribosomal RNA", at positions 30 to 507 of the family's 1533-position model. The record is from RNAcentral.